RNAcentral lists this ribosomal RNA (496 nucleotides) under uncultured bacterium. Its description in RNAcentral is "bacterial SSU rRNA". It matches the Rfam family "Bacterial small subunit ribosomal RNA", at positions 28 to 543 of the family's 1533-position model. The record is from RNAcentral.
GACGAACGCUGGCGGCGUGCCUAACACAUGCAAGUCGAGCGAUGAAACCCUUCGGGGUGGAUUAGCGGCGGACGGGUGAGUAACACGUGGGUAACCUGCCUCAAAGAGGGGAAUAGCCUCCCGAAAGGGAGAUUAAUACCGCAUAAUAUGUUUUGAUCGCAUGAUCUUGACAUCAAAGGAGUAAUCCGCUUUGAGAUGGACCCGCGGCGCAUUAGCUAGUUGGUGAGGUAACGGCUCACCAAGGCGACGAUGCGUAGCCGACCUGAGAGGGUGAUCGGCCACAUUGGAACUGAGACACGGUCCAGACUCCUACGGGAGGCAGCAGUGGGGAAUAUUGCGCAAUGGGGGAAACCCUGACGCAGCAACGCCGCGUGAAUGAUGAAGGCCUUCGGGUUGUAAAGUUCUGUCUUCUGGGACGAUAAUGACGGUACCAGAGGAGGAAGCCACGGCUAACUACGUGCCAGCAGCCGCGGUAAUACGUAGGUGGCAAGCGUUG